GGUGCCUGACUACAUAAUGAACUUUCUAGCUGUGUUGAUGACAACAAGAAGAAAAGCUUCUUUGACCAGGUUUGCUGACUUAAUUCAAGCUAUCCUGGUGGACUGACAUCAUACAUCCAGAAUGCCAAAAGGCUUUUGGUAGAUUGCAAGGCAGGAUAAAAUCCAUACGAUGGUUCCACGCCUUCAAGAACUCGGCAUUCAGACCUCGCUGGCGCUGGGCUAGAUGGGCUUGCUGGUAUUUUAUAGUCUGGUC
Triticum aestivum (bread wheat) is the source of this 253-nucleotide long non-coding RNA. RefSeq lists it as uncharacterized. Lineage: Eukaryota; Viridiplantae; Streptophyta; Magnoliopsida; Poales; Poaceae. The transcript is spliced from 3 exons. The record is from RefSeq and is a predicted model, not a curated record.